UACGAGGGGUGCAAGCGUUAUUCGGAUUUACUGGGCGUAAAGAGUGCGUAGACGGUUUAUCAAGUCUGUUGUUAAAUUCCUCGGCUUAACCGAGGGUCAGCGGUAGAAACUGGUAGACUAGAGUGUGGGAGAGAGAAGUGGAAUUCCCGGAGUAGCGGUAAAAUGCGUAGAUCUCGGGAGGAACACCGAUGGCGAAGGCAGCUUCUUGGACCAUUACUGACGUUGAGGCACGAAAGCGUGGGGAGCAAACAGG
Molecule: ribosomal RNA, 253 nt
Filed under: uncultured bacterium
Lineage: Bacteria
Description: partial 16S ribosomal RNA
Rfam family: Bacterial small subunit ribosomal RNA
Source: RNAcentral